UGGGGAAUCUUCCGCAAUGGACGAAAGUCUGACGGAGCAACGCCGCGUGAGUGAUGACGGUCUUCGGAUUGUAAAGCUCUGUUAAUCGGGACGAAUGGUUUGUGUGCAAAUAGUGCAUAGACAUGACGGUACCGGAAUAGAAAGCCACGGCUAACUACGUGCCAGCAGCCGCGGUAAUACGUAGGUGGCAAGCGUUGUCCGGAAUUAUUGGGCGUAAAGCGCGCGCAGGCGGACUAGCCAGUCAGUCUUAAAAGUUCGGGGCUUAACCCCGUGAUGGGAUUGAAACUACUAGUCGAGAGUAUCGGAGAGGAAAGUGGAAUUCCUAGUGUAGCGGUGAAAUGCGUAGAUAUUAGGAAGAACACCAGUGGCGAAGGCGACUUUCUGGACGAACACUGACGCUGAGGCGCGAAAGCCAGGGGAGCGAACGGG
This 429-nucleotide ribosomal RNA is filed under the name Verrucomicrobiota bacterium. RNAcentral describes it as "Verrucomicrobia bacterium partial 16S ribosomal RNA". It matches the Rfam family "Bacterial small subunit ribosomal RNA", at positions 355 to 776 of the family's 1533-position model. The record is from RNAcentral. Lineage: Bacteria; Pseudomonadati; Verrucomicrobiota.